RNAcentral lists this ribosomal RNA (1485 nucleotides) under uncultured prokaryote. RNAcentral's name for it is "partial 16S ribosomal RNA". It matches the Rfam family "Bacterial small subunit ribosomal RNA". The record is from RNAcentral.
CGCCCUUAGAGUUUGAUCCUGGCUCAGAUUGAACGCUGGCGGUAUGCUUAACACAUGCAAGUCGAACGGUGACAGGCAGAAGCUUGCUUUUGCGCUGACGAGUUGCGGACGGGUGAGUAACGCGUAGGAAUCUACCUAGUAGUGGGGGAUAGCCCAGAGAAAUUUGGAUUAAUACCGCAUACGAUCUAUGGGUGAAAGCAGGGGAUCUUCGGACCUUGCGCUAUUAGAUGAGCCUGCGUAAGAUUAGCUAGUUGGUGAGGUAAAGGCUCACCAAGGCGACGAUCUUUAGCUGGUCUGAGAGGAUGAUCAGCCACACUGGGACUGAGACACGGCCCAGACUCCUACGGGAGGCAGCAGUGGGGAAUAUUGGACAAUGGGCGCAAGCCUGAUCCAGCAAUACCGCGUGUGUGAAGAAGGCCUUCGGGUUGUAAAGCACUUUCAGUUGUGAGGAAAGCAUAAUGGUUAAUACCCAUUAUGUGUGACGUUAGCAACAGAAGAAGGACCGGCUAACUCCGUGCCAGCAGCCGCGGUAAUACGGAGGGUCCGAGCGUUAAUCGGAAUUACUGGGCGUAAAGCGCACGCAGGCGGUUUGUUAAGCUAGAUGUGAAAGCCCGGGCUCAACCUGGGAAUAGCAUUUAGAACUGGCAGGCUAGAGUCUUGGAGAGGGGAGUGGAAUUUCUGGUGUAGCGGUGAAAUGCGUAGAUAUCAGAAGGAACAUCAGUGGCGAAGGCGACUCCCUGGCCAAAGACUGACGCUCAUGUGCGAAAGUGUGGGUAGCGAACAGGAUUAGAUACCCUGGUAGUCCACACCGUAAACGCUGUCUACUAGCUGUUUGUGGAUUUAAUCCGUGAGUAGCGAAGCUAACGCGAUAAGUAGACCGCCUGGGGAGUACGGCCGCAAGGUUAAAACUCAAAUGAAUUGACGGGGGCCCGCACAAGCCGUGGAGCAUGUGGUUUAAUUCGAUGCAACGCGAAGAACCUUACCUACCCUUGACAUACAGAGAGCUUUCUAGAGAUAAAUUGGUGCCUUCGGGGAUCUAGAUACAGGUGCUGCAUGGCUGUCGUCAGCUCGUGUCGUGAGAUGUUGGGUUAAGUCCCGCAACGAGCGCAACCCUUGUCCUUAGUUGCCAGCGGUUAAUCUGGGCACUCUAGGGAAACUGCCCGGGAUAAGCGGGAGGAAGGUGUGGAUGACGUCAAGUCCUCAUGGCCCUUACGGGUUGGGCUACACACGUGCUACAAUGGCAGUGACAAUGGGUUAAUCCCAAAAAGCUGUCUCAGUUCGGAUUGGGGUCUGUAAUUUGACCCCAUGAAGUCGGAAUCGCUAGUAAUCGCGUAACAGCAUGACGCGGUGAAUACGUUCCCGGGCCUUGUACACACCGCCCGUCACACCAUGGGAGUUGGGUCUACCCGAAGUAGCUAGCUUAACCUUCGGGAGGGCGGUUACACGGUGGGGUUCAUGACUGGGGUGAAGUCGUAACAAGGUAAC